GAAAAAUUCGCCACCGGGAAUUCCGAAUGAUGCAACCGGAUCCUUCACCUUUAUUGCCUUUAUUGCCAACGGCAGCCCCAGCAGCCAGCUAAAGUUACAUGCCUCAAUGCAGCCUUUCCGGAAUGUGUUUAUUCUUGCGGGGAUCGGCGAAAGCUGCAAAAGCAUGACUCCUUCAGAAGAAGCAAAUGUGAAAUUCAUGUAACAAUCAGGAUGAGGAUGAUCGGAAGCGGCAUCGGUACUCCUCCCAAUAGCUCCCGCAAUCAUAGGAAGAAUUAUUCCUCUCAUCGACAUUAGCCAACCAAAAAAAAACCCGAUGAGACCGACGAAUGGAUUUGUACGGAUGGGAGGGGGAAGAUUGAAAGCCAAUCAUCAGCUCAUCGGGAAAAUCUUUAGGGGACUAAAUAUCCAACGCCGUAGCUGCAUAACGUUCUGAGCAAAGUAAUCGUUUGUCAUGAUCCGAAUCGUGAGGAGUCCUCGAUCAACUUUAUGAAAUUCAUUCAUGAUUCAAGGAACUUACAGUUGUGAUGAAUGUAAGGAACCUAAGGAACUUGUUCGAACAAUCCGACAUGCUUCGAAUUAACAAGUUCGGAGUUGCUUAUCGAUAUCCCUACACAGCAAAAAAUUUCUAAAAGUAUACGGAAUCUAAAACACGAGUAGUCUAAUUUUUUACAAGUGUAAAUCGAAGACGAUGUAAUUUUCAACUCCUUUUGAUGUAAUUUUAGUCUUUUUUCAAAAAGUGAAUAGAAAUACAUUGUUUUGCUAUAAUUUUACAUUCCGUGAUGUAAAAAUCAAGCGGUCAAUGAAUUUUAUAUCACAAACAGUGUAAAAUUGUAUGUUUGAUUUAAAAUUAAAUGGAAAUGUGCAACUUGUGUGGCGCG
Molecule: long non-coding RNA, 878 nt
Organism: Uranotaenia lowii
Lineage: Eukaryota; Metazoa; Arthropoda; Insecta; Diptera; Culicidae
Exons: 3
Source: RefSeq, a predicted model, not a curated record